UACGGGGGGAGCAAGCGUUGUUCGGAUUUACUGGGCGUAAAGGGCGCGUAGGCGGCCACCGCAAGUCGAUUAUGAAAUCUCCGGGCUUAACCCGGAAAGGUCAACCGAUACUGCGGGGCUAGAGUGCAGAAGGGGCAACUGGAAUUCUCGGUGUAGCGGUGAAAUGCGUAGAUAUCGAGAGGAACACCUGCGGCGAAGGCGGGUUGCUGGGCUGAUACUGACGCUGAGGCGCGAAAGCCAGGGGAGCGAACGGG
Molecule: ribosomal RNA, 254 nt
Filed under: uncultured bacterium
Lineage: Bacteria
Description: partial 16S ribosomal RNA
Rfam family: Bacterial small subunit ribosomal RNA
Source: RNAcentral